CUUAGGUGAUGGAGGUGAUGUGUAAUGGUAUGGUGGCGGAGAAGACUUUUUGGGAGGAGGUGGUGACAAGUAGUGAUAUGGUAGCGGAGGAGACCUCUUGGGAGGAGGUGGUGAUGAGUAGUGGUAUUGUGGCGGGGGAGACUUAACCGGAGGAGGAGGCGACGAGUAGUGGUAUGGUGGUGGGGGAGAAUUCUUGGGAGGCGGAGGUGACGAGUAGUGGUAUGGAGGCGGUGGAGACUUCUUAGGAGGAGGAGGCGAUGAGUAGUGGUAUGGUGGUGGAGGAGACUUCUUAGGAAGAGGGGACGAGUAGUGGUAUGGUGGUGGGGGAGAAUUCUUAGGAGGAGGUGGUGACGAGUAGUGGUAUGGAGGUGGUGGAGACUUCACUGGAGGAGGAGGAGACGAGUUAUGAUAUGGUGGUGGGGGGGACUUCUUAGGAGGAGGUGGCGAUGAGUAGUGAUAUGGAGGCGGUGGAGAUUUGACUGGAAGAGGAGGAGAUGAGUAAUGAUAUGGUGGUGGGGAAGACUUCCUAGGAGGAGGUGGUGACGAGUAGUGAUAUGGAGGCGGUGGAGAUUUCACUGGAGGAGGAGGAGAACUGUAAUGGUAUGGAGGUGGUGGAGACUUUUUAAGAGGAGGAGGCGACGAGUAAUGAUAUGGAGGUGGUGGAGACUUCUUAGGAGGAGGUGGAGAACUGUAAUGGUAUGGUGGUGGGGGAGACUUUUUAGGAGGAGGUGGCGACGAGUAAUGGUAUGGAGGCGGCGGAGAUGUCUUAGGAGGAGGAGGCGACGAGUAGUGGUAUGGAG
RNAcentral lists this long non-coding RNA (800 nucleotides) under Linum usitatissimum (flax). Its description in RNAcentral is "long non-coding RNA (LUSI_LNC006491)". Lineage: Eukaryota; Viridiplantae; Streptophyta; Magnoliopsida; Malpighiales; Linaceae. The record is from RNAcentral.